AACGAACGCUGGCGGCAGGCUUAACACAUGCAAGUCGAGCGGGCCCGCAAGGGUCAGCGGCGGCCGGGUUAGUAACGCGUGGGAACGUGCCUCUUGCUUCGGAAUAGCCCUGGGAAACUGGGGGUAAUACCGGAUGGGCCCUGAGGGGGAAAGAUUUAUCGGCACGAGAUCGGCCAGCGUUGGAUUAGGUAGUUGGUGGGGUAACGGCCCACCAAGCCGACGAUCCAUAGCGGGUUUGAGAGGAUGAUCAGCAACACUGGGACUGAGACACGGCCCAGACUCCUACGGGAGGCAGCAGUGGGAAUCUUAGACAAUGGGCGCAAGCCUGAUCUAGCCAUGCCGCGUGGGUGAUGAAGGCCUUAGGGUCGUAAAGCCCUUUCGCCGGGGAAGAUAAUGACGGUACCCGGUAAAGAAACCCCGGCUAACUCCGUGCCAGCCGCCGCAGUAA
RNAcentral lists this ribosomal RNA (448 nucleotides) under uncultured bacterium. RNAcentral describes it as "partial 16S ribosomal RNA". It matches the Rfam family "Bacterial small subunit ribosomal RNA", at positions 29 to 523 of the family's 1533-position model. The record is from RNAcentral.